This 611-nucleotide long non-coding RNA is filed under the name Physcomitrium patens. RNAcentral's name for it is "long non-coding RNA (PPAT_LNC000500)". The record is from RNAcentral. Lineage: Eukaryota; Viridiplantae; Streptophyta; Bryopsida; Funariales; Funariaceae.
AGGAGAGGAGAAGAAAAGAGGCAUUCAAAAAUCAGGAAUUUGGAGGUCGGAGAGCUAGCUUUAAGCCCCUUCGAAAGGCAUAGAAUUGGAUUCAUAGGAGUUGGGAGGACUUUGGCAGUCGUUGCUAAAAGUCAGUGUUUGUAUUGGUGAAUUGGGUUUUUUUUUUGCAAUAAAAUUAAGGCUGAUACUCUUGACUGUUUUGUGAAAUUGGAAAAACUUCUAUGGUUGAAAUUUAGAGGAGUCUAGAGGGUUGAGUUUGUCGAGUGCAUGCAAAAAGUUGUGUUAAUCUGACGAAACAGAUAGAGGAUAUUUGACCUUUAAUGUAAAGAAGUAUCGAAAGUUAGCAGAUUGAGGUUGUUUAGGGUUUUUAUAAUAUCUGGAGACCUAUUGGCUGGAAUAAGGUGACUUUUGGCGUGAUAAGUCAAGGACUUUUAGGUGGCGGUCAAGAUACAUCAGUGUGGAUUAAUGGCGUUUUCUUGCAACUUGUAAGUUAGAUUAGAUUGAAACUUCUUGAGUAUUUGGAAGGCUUGCAAAGACACUAGUGGUAGAAGUUUACAACCAUCGGAUGAUCAUAUUGAGAAUUAUAGCUUGUCGAAGCUCAUUGUCUAGGA